Non-coding RNA from Orycteropus afer afer, 1860 nucleotides. The record is from RefSeq and is a predicted model, not a curated record. Lineage: Eukaryota; Metazoa; Chordata; Mammalia; Tubulidentata; Orycteropodidae.
AUGCUGGGUCCCGAGGGAGGUGAAGGAUUUGUGGUCAAGUUCCGCGGCUUGCCAUGGUCUUGCUCUAUUGAGGAUGUGCAGAAUUUCCUCUCUGAAUGCAAAAUUCAUGAUGGCGUAGUAGGUGUUCAUUUCAUCUACACCAGAGAAGGCAGACAGAGUGGUGAGGCUUUUGUUGAACUUGAAUCAUAAGAUGAUGUAAAAAUGGCCCUGAAGAAAGACAGAGAAAGCAUGGGGCAUCGCUACAUUGAGGUAUUCAAGUCCCACAGAACUGAAAUGGAUUGGGUGUUGAAGCACAGUGGUCCAAGCAGCGCCGACAGUGCCAAUGAUGGCUUUGUGCGUCUUCAAGGACUCCCAUUUGGAUGCACAAAGGAAGAAAUUGUUCAGUUCUUCUCAGGGUUGGAAAUCAUGCCAAAUGGGAUCACUUUGCCAGUGGACCCUGAGGGCAAGAUUACAGGGGAGGCCUUCGUGUAGUUUGCUUCACAGGAGUUAGCUGAGAAGGCACUAGGGAAGCACAAGGAAAGAAUAGGGCCCAGGUAUACUGAAGUGUUCAAAAGCAGUCAGGAAGAGUGAGAUCACACUCCGAUCCCCCGCUGAAGUUCAUGUUUGUUCAGUGACCAGGGCCCUAUGACAGGCCUGGCACUGCCCAGAGAUAUACUGGCAUUGUCAAACAAGCAGGCUUUGACAGGAUGAGGUCUGGGACCUACAGCACAGGCUAUGGGGGCUAUGAGGAGUAUAGUGGCCUCAGCGACAACUAUGGUUUCACCACUGAUCUGUUUGGAAGAGAUCUCAGUUACUGUCUGUCAGGAAUGUAUGACCACAGAUAUGGAGACAGUGAGUUCACUGUCCAGAGCACAACUGGACACUGUGUCCACAUGAGGGGGCUACCAUACAAAGCGACCGAGAAUGACAUUUAUAACUUCUUCUCUCCACUCAACCCUGUGAGAGUUCAUAUUGAGAUUGGCCCUGAUGGAAGAGUGACCAGUGAAGCAGAUGUCGAGUUUGCCACUCAUGAAGAAGCUGUGGCCGCCAUGUCAAAAGACAGAGCCAACAUGCAACACAGAUACAUAGAGCUCUUCUUGAAUUCAACCACAGGGUCCAGCAAUAGGGCUGACAGUAGCCAAAUGAUACAGGGCAUGGGGAUGUCAACCCAAUCCACUUACACUGGCCUCAAGAGCCAGUCAGUGAGUGGCUGUUACGGGGCUGGCUAUAGCGGUCAGGAGAACAUGGGUGGAUAUGACUAGUUUUAUAGAAACAUUUGAGUUAUUUCAAUCAAAUUUUCACAGGCAGCCAACAAGAAGUGGAGAGCAGUUAUUACAUAGAGAAGCUGUGGGACCCAUUUUGCACCAUGAGUUUGUGAAAUCUGGAUUUAAAAAAAAAAAAUUACUUCUUCAGUGUUUUCUCAUGCAAACUUUCUUCUAGCAUGUGAUAAAGAUAUUGAGUAAACUAUAAGAAACUAUUUUCAGCUUUUCUCAAUUAACGUUUUGGUAGUAUACUUCAGAGUGAUGUCCAAGUUAAAGUAGUUUAAAAUAUGUUAAAUGUGGAUCUUUUGCACCACAUUACAGUCAAACAUUUGGGAGUCAUGCUUUUUUGGAAAACUCAAAGGUGCUAGAUCCCUAAUCCAAAGAGAACCAUUUCUCAUGUUUGUUCAUUCUAGUUUGUUUCCAUUUAAAAUCUUUUAGGUUAAGUUUUAAGCUUUUAAAAAGUUAAUUUUGAAAAUUGAGACACAAUACUAAUACUGUAGGAUUUUUGGUGAGGCCUUGACUUAAACCUUUCUUUGUACUGUGAUUUCCUUUUGGGUGUAUUUUGCUAAGUGAAACUUGUUAACUAAAUUAUUUUCUUAAAAUAAAGACUUUUUCACAA